AACGAACGCUGGCGGCAUGCCUAACACAUGCAAGUCGAACGAGCCCUUCGGGUCUAGUGGCGUACGGGUGCGUAACGCGUGGGAACCUGCCCUUAGGUUCGGCAUAACUCCCCGACAGGGGUGCUAAUACCGGAUAAUGUCUUCGGCCCAAAGAUUUAUCGCCUUUGGAUGGUCCCGCGUUGGAUUAGCUAGUUGUUAGGGUAAAAGCCUACCACGGCGACGAUUCAUAGCUGGUCUGAGAGGAUGCUCAGCCACACUGGGACUGAGACACGGCCCAGAAUCCUACGGGAGGCAGCAGUGGGGAAUAGUGGACAGUGGGCGAAAGGAUGAUCCAGCAAUGCCGCGUGAGUGAUGAAGGCAUUAGGGUUGUAAAGCGCUUGUAACCGGGAAGAUAAUGACAGUACCGGGAGAAUAAGCUCCGGCUAACUCCGUG
Molecule: ribosomal RNA, 433 nt
Filed under: uncultured bacterium
Lineage: Bacteria
Description: partial 16S ribosomal RNA
Rfam family: Bacterial small subunit ribosomal RNA
Source: RNAcentral